Molecule: ribosomal RNA, 442 nt
Filed under: uncultured bacterium
Lineage: Bacteria
Description: bacterial SSU rRNA
Rfam family: Bacterial small subunit ribosomal RNA
Source: RNAcentral
ACUCCUACGGGAGGCAGCAGCAGGAAUCUUGCACAAUGGGCGAAAGCCUGAUGCAGCAACGCCGCGUGUGGGAUGAAGGCCUUCGGGUUGUAAACCACUUUCAGGAGGGAAGAAAUUGACGGUACCUCCAAAGAAGGUCCGGCCAACUACGUGCCAGCAGCCGCGGUAAUACGUAGGGACCGAGCGUUAUCCGGAAUCAUUGGGCGUAAAGAGCUCGUAGGCGGUUCAGAAAGUCGGCUGUGAAAGUCCAAGGCUCAACCUUGGAAAUGCAGUCGAGACUUCUGUGACUAGAGUCUGGUAGAGGAGAAUGGAAUUCCCGGUGUAGCGGUGGAAUGCGCAGAUAUCGGGAGGAACACCGAGUAGCGAAGGCGGUUCUCUGGGCCUCGACUGGACGCUGAGGAGCGAAAGCAUGGUAGCAAACAGGAUUAGAUACCCUGGUAGG